GACGAACGCUGGCGGCGUGCCUAACACAUGCAAGUCGAACGGAGCUAGACGCUGAUGAAUAGCUUGCUAGGAAUCUUGUUUAGCUUAGUGGCGGACGGGUGAGUAACGCGUGAGCAACCUGCCUUUCAGAGGGGGAUAACGUUUGGAAACGAACGCUAAUACCGCAUGAUAUUAAAGGGCUGCAUGGCCUGAUAAUCAAAGGAGCAAUCCGCUGAAAGAUGGGCUCGCGUCCGAUUAGGUAGUUGGUGAGGUAACGGCCCACCAAGCCGACGAUCGGUAGCCGGACUGAGAGGUUGAACGGCCACAUUGGGACUGAGACACGGCCCAG
This 328-nucleotide ribosomal RNA is filed under the name uncultured bacterium. RNAcentral's name for it is "bacterial SSU rRNA". It matches the Rfam family "Bacterial small subunit ribosomal RNA", at positions 28 to 334 of the family's 1533-position model. The record is from RNAcentral.